UACAGAGGUCUCGAGCGUUAGGCGGAAUCACUGGGCUUAAAGCGUGUGUAGGCGGACUGGUAAGUACCUUGUGAAAUCCCACGGCUCAACCGUGGAACUGCUUGGUAUACUGCUUGUCUUGUGUAACCUAGGGGCGAGCGGAACAGAUGGUGGAGCGGUGAAAUGCGUAGAUAUCAUCUGGAACGCCAAUGGUGAAAACAGCUCGCUGGGGGUUUGCAGACGCUGAGACACGAAAGCCAGGGGAGCAAACGGG
RNAcentral lists this ribosomal RNA (253 nucleotides) under uncultured bacterium. Its description in RNAcentral is "partial 16S ribosomal RNA". It matches the Rfam family "Bacterial small subunit ribosomal RNA", at positions 524 to 776 of the family's 1533-position model. The record is from RNAcentral.